CGCGGAUGUUAGCUAAAAAAAACAUCAAUUAAAAAUUAAAUAGUGCCCACCACGCAACAAAACUUCACCGUUUCUAGGCAUCUGCAAAAGAAACGGUGAUGUGCGUUUGGUUUCGCCAUCGUUUCGUUCGUUAGAAUUACCUAAAGUGAUAGUGAUUUCAGUGUGAUAGCAAGACACAUAUCCAAGUAUUCAGAAAUCCCAUUUCUGCAAAAAAAAAAAAUCUGUCGAUCCUUCGCCCUCGGACAUUGUACCGCAUUUUCCUGAAGGUACUCUCGCUUGAAUUUGUCAAUGAAUGCUUGGCGAAUACAUGGUUUUUUUGCAUGUGUGUGUGUGUGUUUGUGUUCGUUCAUCGCAAAAACCAAACCAACGGUAGUUCAGCGGAAUGCGGUUUUAUGGUGGCGGUUUGCACACACACAUGAGAACACAUUUCAUUGAGGCGUCAUUUAAAUGACAUUGAAAAGCAAACAGAACAAAAAGAAAACGUGUAUGAAGAGUCGGUAUGGUGUUAACUUGCUGCAUGGCGUGGAUGGCAGCGCUGCCGCUGUUGCCAUUCCGUUUACAUCGAUCGACAAGCAGAUCGUUUCGCUCUGCUUUUGUUCAGCCACAUGCACGCGCAGGCCAUGCUUGGUACUUUAUAAACAGACAAAUUCGUGAAAUUUUGUGUAUAAAUAAAGUGAAUUUAACCAAUAUUCUUCGACACUAGUGAAAGGAGGCUGAAAUUAUACAGGCUGAACAACAUAACUUGACGUUGAUGUCUACAGUAAUUUGGAGGACAUUAUUAGCAUCUCAGGGUCUCCCUCCUGGUUCUGGUUUUUAUUUUAUGCCAGUGGUUGUAUCAAACAAGCGGAUCACUCUUCCGCGACCUCGUCCACCAGGAUAAAGCAGAACCCGGAUAUCAUGGAUCAAGGGAAUUGGUGUUAUGGAGGCGGUUGCUGGGGCCUCAAUUUUGCGUUGUGGUGGUUGCUGUGGCCGUCAAAGAUGGGCUGACCUCUCCGCUUUUGUUCGCCGAGGAGGCCAGUUGAUACCCUCGAGAAAUUUAAAUUAUUUUGGCGAAACACUGAAAGACAUAAAAGCACACAACACAAAAACACUCAUAUAUCUACACAAUUAUAAUUCAUACAAGGAUCACUUACAAUCAAUUACUAACGCCUUCACCAUAAAUAAUAAAAUAAAUAUCGAGGCUUUUAUUGCCUUAAAAAAAGUAA
Molecule: long non-coding RNA, 1205 nt
Organism: Musca domestica (house fly)
Lineage: Eukaryota; Metazoa; Arthropoda; Insecta; Diptera; Muscidae
Exons: 5
Source: RefSeq, a predicted model, not a curated record